This is a long non-coding RNA of Oxyura jamaicensis (ruddy duck), 701 nucleotides long. RefSeq lists it as uncharacterized. Lineage: Eukaryota; Metazoa; Chordata; Aves; Anseriformes; Anatidae. The record is from RefSeq and is a predicted model, not a curated record. The transcript has 4 exons.
CCGAAAUGUUUGUGUGUGUCAGAUCAAUCUUUUCACUGACCAGGACAGCUGUACUCACAGGGGGAUCACCAAUCAUCCUGCUAGGAACUGCUUCUGUCCUUCAACAGGCAAUUAACACUUCUGGUCAAGACAACCAUAUUGGUGAGUUCUUGGAGGGCUCAUUUAAAUGCCUACGCAUAUCUCACCAAGCAUACCACCAACCAACCCGGCAGUUCUACUACGGACAUGCAAUCAAGUAGUGCCAGACUUCAUUUCGUUGCCGUUUUCAAGAUCUGAUGCAGGAGUACAAGAAUACACACACACCCCCUGAACAGUUUUUCCGAGAUGUGGAAAUUAUGACUCCCGUCAUCCUGCACUCAUGGUACAAAGGAGUUCCAAGUUAGAGAUCGCAGAGCAAGCUCUGAGCAGGACGAACCAUCAGGGUGGCACCACGCGCUGUCCUGCUGCAACAGGCUUUGGUGCUGGAAGGCACAGAGCUGCCCAGUGUACUGCUGCCCCAGCUAAGGCAGAGCUGCCCCAGCUUCCAACGCUGAAGCCAGCUCGCAGGGGGCCCGUGCAGGGCUAUUUGCAUGGUGUUCCAAUGCACCAUGCAAGCAAUGCCUACAACCGCAACAACUAAGAGGAUGCGCCACAAUCACAGGACAUCAUACAUCCCCAAACUAUCAAGCCACUGUCUGCCACUUUCUGUCUUCAAAAAGAGA